Molecule: ribosomal RNA, 438 nt
Filed under: uncultured bacterium
Lineage: Bacteria
Description: partial 16S ribosomal RNA
Rfam family: Bacterial small subunit ribosomal RNA
Source: RNAcentral
CUACGGGCGGCUGCAGUGAGGAAUAUUGCACAAUGGGGGGAACCCUGAUGCAGCAACGCCGCGUGGAGGAUGACGCAUUUCGGUGUGUAAACUCCUUUUAUAUGUCAAGAAAAUGACGGUAGCAUAUGAAUAAGCACCGGCUAACUCCGUGCCAUCAGCCGCGGUAAUACGGAGGGUGCAAGCGUUACUCGGAAUCACUGGGCGUAAAGGACGCGUAGGCGGGUUGGAAAGUCAGGUGUGAAAUCCUACAGCUUAACUGUAGAACUGCACUUGAAACUUCUAAUCUAGAGUAUGGGAGGGGGGAUGGAAUUAGUGGUGUAGGGGUAAAAUCCGUAGAUAUCACUAGGAAUACCUAAAGCGAAGGCGAUCUCCUGGAACAUUACUGACGCUAAGGCGUGAAAGCGUGGGGAGCAAACAGGAUUAGAUACCCUCGUAGUC